UAUCAAAGCUUGUCUGCUCUCUUGAAUCAAGUCAUCUUCAAGACUACCUACAUUACUUUUUUUUUCAAACACAUUUUCAAAUAGUUUAUCUCACUGUAAUGUCGUCAGCUUCGACCACUACCAAAGAACAAUGCAUAACUAGCAAAUGCAUUGUCCAAGAGCGAAUUAUAGAUGAUGACAAAAAAGACUGUUCCAAGGUAUACAAAAAACUUGCGAGUUGCAUUAACGAAUGUUUAAUGGAGAAAUGUCGAGAAAGGAAGCAGAAAAAUGAUUGUUGAUUCGAAUACCUUCCUAAUAAUAUAAUUUUGUAUGCACAUUGUUAUCUGUACCUCGAUAAUGUUGAUUUUGAAUAAAAUAAUUGUUGAAUUCUGAAAA
This is a long non-coding RNA of Planococcus citri (citrus mealybug), 375 nucleotides long. RefSeq lists it as uncharacterized. The transcript is spliced from 3 exons. The record is from RefSeq and is a predicted model, not a curated record. Lineage: Eukaryota; Metazoa; Arthropoda; Insecta; Hemiptera; Pseudococcidae.